CAGAUAAAACAAAAACAGAUAAGCAUGAAAACAAAUACAUUGUGUCACUUACAUAUCAGUUUAGUUGCCAGCAUUGAAUACUUGUGCUAUCUUCUUUCACCAACUUCAGCUUGAAAGAUGUUCUCAAUUUUUUCGAAAGCUACGCACAUAUGUACAGAUACACGCCCACAAAAGAGGUGUGGUAUGAAUAAACAACUGAAAUGGAAAAGAUGGGCCAGUUACCUGUUUC
This is a long non-coding RNA of Schistocerca gregaria, 229 nucleotides long. RefSeq lists it as uncharacterized. The record is from RefSeq and is a predicted model, not a curated record. The transcript has 3 exons. NCBI's taxonomy places the organism in Eukaryota, Metazoa, Arthropoda, Insecta, Orthoptera, Acrididae.